Oreochromis aureus is the source of this 803-nucleotide long non-coding RNA. Lineage: Eukaryota; Metazoa; Chordata; Actinopteri; Cichliformes; Cichlidae. The record is from Ensembl.
UGUUAAAUAAGAUCUUUCUACAUGACAGAGUUUAGACAGAGUGAAGGGAGUGAAGAGGUGGAAGCAGUUCUUCUGUCAUUCAAUAUUUUUCUUGAUUAGCAUCAAAUUCAUAAUGAAUAUCCAUCAUGUUCUGGUCUUCUGCUUCUUAUCAGGUACAACUGGGUUUGUUAAAGCCAGCAUUUGGAUUGUACCUGAAGGAGGGAAUGUAUCACUAUAUAAUUACUUCACUGUGUCUGGAAACACAAAGUUCUUCUGUAAGGAAAAAUGUGAGCGAGCAGAAAACAUCCUCAUUAAAACAGAUGGAACCACAGCUCAGAGCGGCAGAUUCAGCAUUGAAUACAAAAAUGCAUCUUCAGGAAGAGGAGAGCUGACUAUGAAAAUCACACAUACGACCAAGUCUGACUCAAGAAUGUACCGGUUUGGUUUGGGUAAAUCUUCAGCUCCAGAUUCGUACUCAGAUCUUGAGGUCAGAGUUUCAAAUGAAUUUGAUAAAAGCUCUAGAAUCUUCCGUGCGCAGACUGAGGGAGAAGAAAUCUCAUUUGGAUGUGCCAAUGCUGUCCAUGGACAGAGGAAGUUCCUUUGUAAGAAUCUGUGUGAAAAAGAAGGAAAUAUUUUCAUUGACACAACUAAUGACAAAGCUGAGAAUGGCAGGUACAGUAUCGAAUACACAAAAGGAUCUGCGUUUGGACUGUAUGCAACCAUCAGACAGCUGACCAAGUCUGACACGGGACAGUACUGGUGUGGUUACGGCGACCCUUUGUCUCCUGAUUCAUACCACACUGAAAAUAUUUUUGUCGUAGGGG